UUUCACCGAGCCCAGCCACAGCGGCCGUUCGGCGUCACGGUCCCGGCCGUAGGUGGCGAGCAGCGCCUGCGCCUC
This 75-nucleotide antisense RNA is filed under the name Streptomyces gancidicus BKS 13-15. RNAcentral's name for it is "ASpks TB sRNA". It matches the Rfam family "ASpks TB sRNA". The record is from Rfam by way of RNAcentral. Lineage: Bacteria; Bacillati; Actinomycetota; Actinomycetes; Kitasatosporales; Streptomycetaceae.